This 339-nucleotide unclassified non-coding RNA is filed under the name soil metagenome. Its description in RNAcentral is "partial contains 5.8S ribosomal RNA, internal transcribed spacer 2, and large subunit ribosomal RNA". The stretch from base 1 to 120 matches the Rfam family "5.8S ribosomal RNA", at positions 35 to 154 of the family's 154-position model. The record is from RNAcentral.
GAUGAAGAACGUAGCGAAAUGCGAUACGUAGUGUGAAUUGCAGAAUUCAGUGAAUCAUCGAAUCUUUGAACGCACAUUGCACCUCUCGGUAUUCCGGGAGGUAUGCCUGUUCGAGCGUCAUUUGUACCCUCAAGCUCUGCUUGGUGUUGGGUGUUUGUUCCGCCUCUGUGUGUGAACUCGCCUCAAAACAAUUGGCAGCCGGCGUACUUGUUUCGGAGCGCGGCACAUUUUGCGAUCCAGAUCAACGUACAGCGGCAUCCAAGAAGCCUUAUUUAACGCUCUUGACCUCGGAUCAGGUAGGGAUACCCGCUGAACUUAAGCAUAUCAAUAAGCGGAGGA